This 631-nucleotide ribosomal RNA is filed under the name Pseudocollinia oregonensis. Its description in RNAcentral is "eukaryotic LSU rRNA". It matches the Rfam family "Eukaryotic large subunit ribosomal RNA", at positions 1 to 588 of the family's 3401-position model. Lineage: Eukaryota; Ciliophora; Oligohymenophorea; Apostomatida; Colliniidae. The record is from RNAcentral.
UCUUUACCUGAGAUCAAGUAAGAUUACCUGCUGAACUUAAGCAUAUCAGUAAGCAGAGGAAAAGAAACUAACAAGGAUUGCCCCAGUAAUGGCGAAUGAAAAGGCAAAAGCUCAGAUUGAAAAUCUUAAUCCUUUGAUUAAGAGUUGUAGUCUGGAGUUGAGAUCGGAAAUUAAAAUUCUAGCAUAAGUCGGUUGGAAAGCCGCGCUAAAAAGGGUGAUAGCCCCGUAGUCGGUUAGAAUUUGAUGUACGAUCAAAAACAAAGAGUCGGGUAUUUUGGGAUUGAUGCCCUAAUUGGGAGAUAAACUUCUUCUAAAGCUAAAUAUUAAUGGGAGACCGAUAGCGAACAAGUACUGUGAAGGAAAGAUGAAAAGAACUUUGAAAAGAGAGAUAAAAGAUUUGAAACCGUUGAAAAGGAAGCGGUAGAAGAAUAAUUAUUUGCUAUUGGUAUUUAUUGUAUUCAAAGGUUGGUUAUGCCCCAAACACUUAAAAAGGUGCAAGGUAUAAUUAAUUCAGGUGCGGUAAUAGCUAAUAGUAAAAGACAAAAUGGAUUGAGAUUGUUGGAUUAGUUCUGAAAGAGCACUGCUUGCAGACUUUCAGGAUAAACAAUUAUUUUGAUCGAGGGUUACGAAA